RNAcentral lists this long non-coding RNA (1145 nucleotides) under Lynx canadensis (Canada lynx). RNAcentral describes it as "lncRNA (ENSLCNG00005005318.1)". Lineage: Eukaryota; Metazoa; Chordata; Mammalia; Carnivora; Felidae. The record is from RNAcentral.
CGGUCUGUGGGUUCGAGCCCCAUGUCGGGCUCUGUGCUGACAGCUCAGAGCCUGGAGCCUGCUUGGAUUUUGUGUCUCCCUCUCUCCUCUGCUCCCCCCCCGCCCCGCUCAUGCUCUGUCUCUCUCUCUGUCAAAAAUAAAUCAACAUUAAAAAUAAAAUUAAAAAAAAUGGGUUGACUUUAAAAAUUUUCCAAAAUGUUCAUCUUUUGGAAAGUAUGCUAAGGAAGAGCAAUUGCUUCCCCAGGUUUUCUUCCCUUAGCGAGACUAUUAAAAAGUUCAGGAGAAAAUCUGGCAGGUUGAAAUGCCAGCCAUGCAAGGUACCAAAGAAUUCCCAGAAGCAACCUUAUUUAAAGUCUUUCUAGACGUGAUCACACGCGGUAAACCACUCACUUCAAGCAGUAUGUAAUUUUAGCCACCAAAUGAUGUCUACCCUACCCCCAUCUCAUUCCAAAGGGUCAAACGUGACUUAGUACCUUUUUGGGGAUUUUUACCGCGAUGCUUUGUAACUGACAGGCUUCAGUUACACUCUAGAGCCUGCUCUAUAAGAAGAGUUCUUAUUAUUGUACGUUCAUAUAUCGUAUCAGUCUUCACAUUUACACAGCCACAGCUCUUUGCAAGGGCAUUCCUCUAAGACUGCUUGCGUAUAAUUUUACCAAGGCCUAUUUGCCAUUACAAUGCUGAAACGGAUAUUUUGUCCUUCUAAUCGUUCUCGGUGACAUCAAAGCACAAAACACCCCAAGUGGCAAAUGCUCAUUGAUUGUGAGUAGAGAGGAUGUGGGAACGGACCAAGUCUAUGGGCUGCAAUCGUCUCUCCCACCACCACUCGGGUGUGUCAUACAUGAUCAAGACAACAAAAGUUUAGGGAGAUGAUCGGUAUUAACAUAACCACGACAAAACAGUUGGACACCAAUCUGAAAUACAUUCUCAAUACUCACAUCCUGUUUGCUGCUCUCCAUCUCUCUGCUACACUAAGAAUUGACUCUCCCUCCACUUCCUCUUCAAGGUACUGCUUCCUCCGCAUCAAAACUGACCAGCCCGGGCCUCCGCCGCAAGCCCAUCCCGCGUCUUCGGACGGAGCAGCAGGGGCGACCCUUUACGGGGAAACGGCGCUGGGCCCCCGCCAUCCUCAAUGUCGCCGUUAACAG